AAACUUGAGAGUUUGAUCCUGGCUCAGAACGAACGCUGGCGGCAUGCCUAACACAUGCAAGUCGAACGAACCCUUCGGGGUUAGUGGCGCACGGGUGCGUAACGCGUGGGAAUCUGCCCCUCGGUUCGGAAUAACAGUUAGAAAUGACUGCUAAUACCGGAUGAUGACGAAAGUCCAAAGAUUUAUCGCCGAGGGAUGAGCCCGCGUAGGAUUAGCUAGUUGGUGGGGUAAAGGCCUACCAAGGCGACGAUCCUUAGCUGGUCUGAGAGGAUGAUCAGCCACACUGGGACUGAGACACGGCCCAGACUCCUACGGGAGGCAGCAGUGGGGAAUAUUGGACAAUCGGCGCAAGCCUGAUCCAGCCAUGCCGCGUGAGUGAUGAAGGCCUUAGGGUUGUAAAGCUCUUUUGUACGGGAAGAUAAUGACGGUACCGUAAGAAUAAGCCCCGGCUAACUUCGUGCCAGCAGCCGCGGUAAUACGAAGGGGGCUAGCGUUGUUCGGAAUUACUGGGCGUAAAGCGCACGUAGGCGGAUAUUUAAGUCAGGGGUGAAAUCCCAGAGCUCAACUCUGGAACUGCCUU
Molecule: ribosomal RNA, 580 nt
Filed under: Alphaproteobacteria bacterium
Lineage: Bacteria; Pseudomonadati; Pseudomonadota; Alphaproteobacteria
Description: bacterial SSU rRNA
Rfam family: Bacterial small subunit ribosomal RNA
Source: RNAcentral